UACGUAGGGUGCGAGCGUUGUCCGGAAUUAUUGGGCGUAAAGAGCUCGUAGGCGGUGUGUCACGUCGGCCGUGAAAACCUGCAGCUUAACUGUGGGCGUGCGGUCGAUACGGGCAUCACUGGAGUUCGGCAGGGGAGACUGGAAUUCCUGGUGUAGCGGUGAAAUGCGUAGAUAUCAAGAGGAACACCUGAGGUGAAGACGGGUUGCUGGGCCGACACUGACGCUGACAGCGCGAAAGCCAGGGGAGCAAACGGG
This 255-nucleotide ribosomal RNA is filed under the name uncultured bacterium. RNAcentral describes it as "partial 16S ribosomal RNA". It matches the Rfam family "Bacterial small subunit ribosomal RNA", at positions 524 to 776 of the family's 1533-position model. The record is from RNAcentral.